RNAcentral lists this ribosomal RNA (253 nucleotides) under uncultured bacterium. RNAcentral's name for it is "partial 16S ribosomal RNA". It matches the Rfam family "Bacterial small subunit ribosomal RNA", at positions 524 to 776 of the family's 1533-position model. The record is from RNAcentral.
UACGUAGGUGGCAAGCGUUGUCCGGAUUUACUGGGUGUAAAGGGCGUGCAGCCGGGCUGACAAGUCAGAUGUGAAAUCCCGCGGCUCAACCGCGGAACUGCAUUUGAAACUGUUAGUCUUGAGUACCGGAGAGGUCAUCGGAAUUCCUUGUGUAGCGGUGAAAUGCGUAGAUAUAAGGAAGAACACCAGUGGCGAAGGCGGCCUGCUGGACUGCAACUGACGUUGAGGCCCGAAAGCGUGGGGAGCAAACAGG